This 468-nucleotide ribosomal RNA is filed under the name uncultured bacterium. RNAcentral describes it as "partial 16S ribosomal RNA". It matches the Rfam family "Bacterial small subunit ribosomal RNA", at positions 28 to 507 of the family's 1533-position model. The record is from RNAcentral.
GACGAACGCUGGCGGCGUGCUUAACACAUGCAAGUCGAACGGAAAGGCCCUGCUUUUGUGGGGUGCUCGAGUGGCGAACGGGUGAGUAACACGUGAGUAACCUGCCCUUGACUUUGGGAUAACUUCAGGAAACUGGGGCUAAUACCGGAUAGGAGCUCCUGCUGCAUGGUGGGGGUUGGAAAGUUUCGGCGGUUGGGGAUGGACUCGCGGCUUAUCAGCUUGUUGGUGGGGUAGUGGCUUACCAAGGCUUUGACGGGUAGCCGGCCUGAGAGGGUGACCGGCCACAUUGGGACUGAGAUACGGCCCAGACUCCUACGGGAGCCAGCAGUGGGGAAUCUUCAACAAUGGGCGGAAGCCUGAUGCAGCAACGCCGCGUGCGGGAUGACGGCCUUCGGGUUGUAAACCGCUUUCGCCUGUGACGAAGCGUGAGUGACGGUAAUGGGUAAAGAAGCACCGGCUAACUACGUG